UUAAACAAGAUUAGGUACCGAAAGGGCAUUAGUGAUUAACUAGUGUAAUCAAGUCCCCGAUCCUAAUUUCUCCGGUUGCGCAGGAGCAAGUAUUUCUCCCGAUACUUCGCUUGGGUUUCUAAUCGACUCACCCCAAACCGAUUAGUGGCGACUCCGUUCUAAAAUUAAUUUACAGGUUAAAAACUCAGACUAUUAAAGUCGUGAAUUGGUG
RNAcentral lists this long non-coding RNA (211 nucleotides) under Eucalyptus grandis. RNAcentral describes it as "long non-coding RNA (EGRA_LNC000771)". Lineage: Eukaryota; Viridiplantae; Streptophyta; Magnoliopsida; Myrtales; Myrtaceae. The record is from RNAcentral.